Molecule: ribosomal RNA, 646 nt
Filed under: uncultured eukaryote
Lineage: Eukaryota
Description: SSU rRNA
Rfam family: Eukaryotic small subunit ribosomal RNA
Source: RNAcentral
UUAAAAAGCUCGUAGUUGGAUUUCGGCGGGCAUUGGUUGGUUUGAAUUGUUUCAACACUGACUAUUCUGCCCGUGUGUUUUGCCAGAAUUUAACGGGUGCUCUUCGCCGAGUGUCUGUUAGAGCUGGCAGGUUUACUUUGAAAAAAUUAGAGUGCUCAAAGCAAGCUUAAUCGCUUGAAUAUUCGUGCAUGGAAUAAUAGAAUAGGAAGUCGUUUCUAUUUUGUUGGUUCUCGGAGAUCGACUUAAUGAUUAAUAGGGACAGUCGGGGGCAUUUGUAUUCAAACGACAGAGGUGAAAUUCUUGGACCGUUUGAAGACAAACUACUGCGAAAGCAUUUGCCAAGAAUGUUUUCAUUAAUCAAGAACGAAAGUUAGUGGUUCGAAGGCGAUUAGAUACCGCCCUAGUUCUAACCAUAAACGAUGCCAGCUAGCGAUCUGUCGGCGUUUUAUUUUGACUUGACAGGGAGCUUCCGGGAAACCAAAGCGUGUGGGUUCCAGGGGAAGUAUGGUUGCAAAGCUGAAACUUAAAGGAAUUGACGGAAGGGCACCACCAGGAGUGGAGCCUGUGGCUUAAUUUGACUCAACACGGGAAAUCUCACCAGGCCCGGACACCAGAAAGAUUGACAGAUUGAUAGCUCUUUCUUGAU